Molecule: ribosomal RNA, 934 nt
Filed under: Meripilus undatus
Lineage: Eukaryota; Fungi; Basidiomycota; Agaricomycetes; Polyporales; Meripilaceae
Description: Rigidoporus undatus partial large subunit ribosomal RNA
Source: RNAcentral
AAAAUCUAGCAUAUCAAUAAGCGGAGGAAAAGAAACUAACAAGGAUUCCCCUAGUAACUGCGAGUGAAGCGGGAAAAGCUCAAAUUUAAAAUCUGGCAGUCUUUGGCUGUCCGAGUUGUAUUCUAGAGAAGCGCUUUCCGUGCCGGACCGUGUACAAGUCUCUUGGAACAGAGCGUCAUAGAGGGUGAGAAUCCCGUCUUUGACACGGACUACCGGUGCUUUGUGAUGCGUUUUCAAAGAGUCGAGUUGUUUGGGAAUGCAGCUCAAAAUGGGUGGUAAAUUCCAUCUAAAGCUAAAUAUUGGCGAGAGACCGAUAGCGAACAAGUACCGUGAGGGAAAGAUGAAAAGCACUUUGGAAAGAGAGUUAAACAGUACGUGAAAUUGCUGAAAGGGAAACGCUUGAAGUCAGUCGCGUCGUUCAGAACUCAGCCUGGCUUUUGCUUGGUGCACUUUCUGAAUGACGGGCCAGCAUCAAUUUUGACUGUUGGAUAAAGGCCAGAGAAAUGUGGCUCCUUUGGGAGUGUUAUAGUCUCCGGUUGCAUACAAUGGUUAGGAUUGAGGAACUCAGCAUGCCUUUAUGGUCGGGGUUCRCCCACGUUCAUGCUUAGGAUGCUGGCGUAAUGGCUUUAAACGACCCGUCUUGAAACACGGACCAAGGAGUCUAACAUGCCUGCGAGUGUUUGGGUGGAAAACCCGAGCGCGCAAUGAAAGUGAAAGUUGGGAUCCCUGUCGUGGGGAGCACUGACGCCCGGACCAGACCUUCUGUGACGGAUCCGCGGUAGAGCAUGUAUGUUGGGACCCGAAAGAUGGUGAACUAUGCCUGAAUAGGGUGAAGCCAGAGGAAACUCUGGUGGAGGCUCGUAGCGAUUCUGACGUGCAAAUCGAUCGUCAAAUUUGGGUAUAGGGGCGAAAGACUAAUCGAACCUCUUUGCCC